UUAAGCGACUAAGCGUACACGGUGGAUGCCCUGGCAGUCAGAGGCGAUGAAGGGCGUGCUAAUCUGCGAUAAGCGCCGGUAAGGUGAUAUGAACCGUUAUAACCGGCGAUACCCGAAUGGGGAAACCCAGUGUGACUCGUCACACUAUCAUUAACUGAAUCCAUAGGUUAAUGAGGCGAACCGGGGGAACUGAAACAUCUAAGUACCCCGAGGAAAAGAAAUCAACCGAGAUUCCCCCAGUAGCGGCGAGCGAACGGGGAGGAGCCCAGAGCCUGAAUCAGCAUGUGUGUUAGUGGAAGCGUCUGGAAAGGCGCGCGAUACAGGGUGACAGCCCCGUACACAAAAGCGCAUGUGCUGUGAGCUCGAUGAGUAGGGCGGGACACGUGGUAUCCUGUCUGAAUAUGGGGGGACCAUCCUCCAAGGCUAAAUACUCCUGACUGACCGAUAGUGAACCAGUACCGUGAGGGAAAGGCGAAAAGAACCCCGGCGAGGGGAGUGAAAAAGAACCUGAAACCGUGUACGUACAAGCAGUGGGAGCNNGUGACUGCGUACCUUUUGUAUAAUGGGUCAGCGACUUAUAUUCUGUAGCAAGGUUAACCGAAUAGGGGAGCCGGAGGGAAACCGAGUCUUAAUUGGGCGUUAAGUUGCAGGGUAUAGACCCGAAACCCGGUGAUCUAGCCAUGGGCAGGUUGAAGGUUGGGUAACACUAACUGGAGGACCGAACCGACUAAUGUUGAAAAAUUAGCGGAUGACCUGUGGCUGGGGGUGAAAGGCCAAUCAAACCGGGAGAUAGCUGGUUCUCCCCGAAAGCUAUUUAGGUAGCGCCUCGUGAAUUCAUCUCCGGGGGUAGAGCACUGUUUCGGCUAGGGGGCCAUCCCGGCUUACCAACCCGAUGCAAACUGCGAAUACCGGAGAAUGUUAUCACGGGAGACACACGGCGGGUGCUAACGUCCGUCGUGAAGAGGGAAACAACCCAGACCGCCAGCUAAGGUCCCAAAGUCAUGGUUAAGUGGGAAACGAUGUGGGAAGGCCCAGACAGCCAGGAUGUUGGCUUAGAAGCAGCCAUCAUUUAAAGAAAGCGUAAUAGCUCACUGGUCGAGUCGGCCUGCGCGGAAGAUGUAACGGGGCUAAACCAUGCACCGAAGCUGCGGCAGCGANNGUUGGGUAGGGGAGCGUUCUGUAAGCCUGUGAAGGUGUGUCGUGAGGCAUGCUGGAGGUAUCAGAAGUGCGAAUGCUGACAUAAGUAACGAUAAAGCGGGUGAAAAGCCCGCUCGCCGGAAGACCAAGGGUUCCUGUCCAACGUUAAUCGGGGCAGGGUGAGUCGACCCCUAAGGCGAGGCCGAAAGGCGUAGUCGAUGGGAAACGGGUUAAUAUUCCCGUACUUGGUGUUACUGCGAAGGGGGGACGGAGAAGGCUAUGUUGGCCGGGCGACGGUUGUCCCGGUUUAAGCGUGUAGGNNNNNNNNNNNNNNNNNNNNNNNNNNNNNNNNNNNNNGGAGCUGAAGUCAGUCGAAGAUACCAGCUGGCUGCAACUGUUUAUUAAAAACACAGCACUGUGCAAACACGAAAGUGGACGUAUACGGUGUGACGCCUGCCCGGUGCCGGAAGGUUAAUUGAUGGGGUCAGCGCAAGCGAAGCUCCUGAUCGAAGCCCCGGUAAACGGCGGCCGUAACUAUAACGGUCCUAAGGUAGCGAAAUUCCUUGUCGGGUAAGUUCCGACCUGCACGAAUGGCGUAAUGAUGGCCAGGCUGUCUCCACCCGAGACUCAGUGAAAUUGAACUCGCUGUGAAGAUGCAGUGUACCCGCGGCAAGACGGAAAGACCCCGUGAACCUUUACUAUAGCUUGACACUGAACAUUGAGCCUUGAUGUGUAGGAUAGGUGGGAGGCUUUGAAGCGUGGACGCCAGUCUGCGUGGAGCCGACCUUGAAAUACCACCCUUUAAUGUUUGAUGUUCUAACGUGGACCCGUAAUCCGGGUUGCGGACAGUGUCUGGUGGGUAGUUUGACUGGGGCGGUCUCCUCCUAAAGAGUAACGGAGGAGCACGAAGGUUGGCUAAUCCUGGUCGGACAUCAGGAGGUUAGUGCAAUGGCAUAAGCCAGCUUGACUGCGAGCGUGACGGCGCGAGCAGGUGCGAAAGCAGGUCAUAGUGAUCCGGUGGUUCUGAAUGGAAGGGCCAUCGCUCAACGGAUAAAAGGUACUCCGGGGAUAACAGGCUGAUACCGCCCAAGAGUUCAUAUCGACGGCGGUGUUUGGCACCUCGAUGUCGGCUCAUCACAUCCUGGGGCUGAAGUAGGUCCCAAGGGUAUGGCUGUUCGCCAUUUAAAGUGGUACGCGAGCUGGGUUUAGAACGUCGUGAGACAGUUCGGUCCCUAUCUGCCGUGGGCGCUGGAGAACUGAGGGGGGCUGCUCCUAGUACGAGAGGACCGGAGUGGACGCAUCACUGGUGUUCGGGUUGUCAUGCCAAUGGCACUGCCCGGUAGCUAAAUGCGGAAGAGAUAAGUGCUGAAAGCAUCUAAGCACGAAACUUGCCCCGAGAUGAGUUCUCCCUGAGACUUAGAGUCUCCUGAAGGAACGUUGAAGACGACGACGUUGAUAGGCCGGGUGUGUAAGCGCAGCGAUGCGUUGAGCUAACCGGUACUAAUG
Molecule: ribosomal RNA, 2643 nt
Filed under: Salmonella enterica subsp. enterica serovar Infantis
Lineage: Bacteria; Pseudomonadati; Pseudomonadota; Gammaproteobacteria; Enterobacterales; Enterobacteriaceae
Description: bacterial LSU rRNA
Rfam family: Bacterial large subunit ribosomal RNA
Source: RNAcentral